GACCCAAAAAAAGGUUUCGCUCAAGUGAAGUCUCAGCUCUGUCAGCAAAGGCUAAAUUCUUACGGAAUUUGUCAGAGCCAUGGCUUCACCCUGUUUGUACUUGAGCACCUCUCUGCUCAGGGUUGAUGACUUCAGGCUGGCCCCAGGUGGGAUGUGUGAUUCCCCCAAGGGCCUGGGGCUAAUUAGAGACCUCAGCUGAAGGCACCUCCAGGCCCCUGUAAGUGGAGUUGCUAAUGCAACUAAAAUUGCUAAUUAUUGCUAAAGUUUGUGGCUGGCCAGGGGUAAUUAUUUGGGUGCAGACCCCUCCAAGACCCCUCAGGAAAGGAGACUGCAGGGAGGAGCAGCUGCCCUGUGCAGAGAUGUUUUGAGGAAUGAGCUUUCAGCAGAGGUGAGACUGUGAAGAGAAAGUCCUGGACCAGAGAAGCCCUAUCCCAGAAGAUAGAUACCUGACUGACUGCUAUGUCAGAGUUUGCACUGAGUGAAGUCUGGACGCAGUCUGUUUGCUGACCAGCAGCUGCCAGGCUGCAAUUCCAGCCAGUUUUGAAUCAACAAGCCUGGCUCUCAUUUUCCUGAGAUCUCAUCAGAGCUGCUAUCAGCUUGGAUCCGACCUGGUGGAUCAAUGAAAGUUAUGACGCUAUAUGGAUUUGUUUUUCAGUGGCAUUGAUAAAAGAGUGUUGCAAGAUCCUCAUCUCAGACUCAGUCUGGCUAACUGAAGGUUGUGAAAUUUCCAAAGAUGACAAGGGGAAAAAAGAGAAAAAAAAGCAAAAAAAAAACAACCAUUCUCCCGUGUGUUGCAACUCUGAGUGCAAUCAGUUGCAAACAAUAAUUCUCUCACUGGACACUCAGCUUCAUUUUAGUUGGGUCCAUGGAAAGUAAUUUCUAUAUAUAUCAGCUAGAUGUCUGACCUGAGGGUUGAAACAAAGAAAUGUGCUUGCAGAAAUGUUGCAAAUGCAAAAUUCUGGCACUGAAGUCCAAGUUCUGCCCUUGACUAAUGUAGUUUGUCUCAAAAUUGUGACCACAUUGAGUAGUUGUACAGGGAAAGGGAAGAACUGAACCAUUUUGAAGAACAUCUGUAAGCUAAAAACCAAGAAGUAAGAUCCACUAGGAAUGGAAAUACUUGAUUAAUGUGCAACACUGAAGCGAAGAUAUUUGCUGUGAAACAGCUCCCAGAUCUACAAUGCUGCUUCAAAGCAUUCCUCCUCAUCUUUGACAACCAUGGCUUUACCUGCUCUGCUGGAUGAGAGGAUCCAGUUCCCCUUGCUCAGCAUUUCAGCUUCUCUCUGAUGUGCUUACCUCUUCUGCUAGCCCACUAGCUGUGGGCUGGUGACUGCAAUGUGAAAGUACUGUGUUUAAUUGGAUCUGAUUCCCACAGCAAACUAAUGAAGCAUCUCUGUUAUUAAUGGGGACACUUUAACAGUUGACCAUGAUGUAAAGACAGGAAGAGUUUACUGAGUUUUCAGUGAUAUUGGUUGGAUUAUAGCAGAGCAGAGAAGCCCUAGUCUUAGGUCAAGGUCCUUGUGAAGGUAACGUACAGGCAGUUCAUACCUCAAUGAGUCUGAUCAGAGUUUAGCAGGACUUUCCCAAAACAUUCCUUUAAAGAAACUCAGAGGAAGGAGAGAAAGGGGAAGAAUCAACACAAUUUGCACCUGGGAGUUGAGGAAAACAGCAGAAAAGCUCUGGGAAAUUCUACUCCAGCUUUUGCAUUUGGCAGAAUGGCUUCAUGGUAGGAUUUCAAGUGCUCAGAAAUCCCCUGGAAUAUGGUCCAAAACAAAAAAUAAUCUAAUCAAAUCCAAUCUCAUCCAAUCUAAUUUCAUUUCUCACUAUUGUGAAAUCACCACAAAAGCAUCUGAGACAUUUUUACUUUUUUAAAUGCUAAGCUUCUGCAGGAUAAACUUAUACGUAUUACUGCUAUAUAGGCACUGUUCCUUAGCAGAAUUAUAACUUAACUGAACUGCAGUAUGUUGCAAGAGGAAAUCCUUGUCAAUGACAGCCAUGGCCACGAGAAGCCUUGUCAGUGUUUCUACUAGGAUCACCAUAAAAAUGAUAGGAAUAUGUCACAUCAUGACCAUCAUUAUAUUUUUCCCACUGUGGAAUUGCCAUUGUAGGUGAUCUUCCAGCAAGAGCAAAAUAUUGCAGUUUACUGAUACCUCCAUGGGCCUGAUUUCAGUGACCUUCCACAUUCAUGCAAGAAAGAAUUAAGACAAUUCUGCAACUGAAUCUGAAAGAGCAGGUGUAAGAGUAGGUCAAAGCUCUUCAUAUCUUUUAAUGCAGUAAAUAAUGUUGUAUGUGUCUUGUAACAACCACUUGAGGUGGUGCUUAACACUUCAGUUUUCCAUUUCUCCUUGACAACUAUCUUGAUCACUGGAUUUCUAUAUUUGUAAUUGAUGUUACAUUGGACUCUGGAUAUGAAAACUAAUGACAAGAGAAAGUGGUGGCAAUUUCUGACUCAACAUUUUCAUCAAUAAAAAUCAUUCUUAAAAUGACUGACACUGCA
Non-coding RNA from Anas platyrhynchos (mallard), 2494 nucleotides. The record is from RefSeq and is a predicted model, not a curated record. NCBI's taxonomy places the organism in Eukaryota, Metazoa, Chordata, Aves, Anseriformes, Anatidae.